UGGCUCAGAGGUUAAGAGCACUGGCUGUUCUUCCAGAGGUCCUGAGUUCAAUUCUCAG
Transfer RNA from Neotoma lepida (desert woodrat), 58 nucleotides. It matches the Rfam family "tRNA", at positions 8 to 63 of the family's 71-position model. From Rfam's summary of the family: Transfer RNA (tRNA) molecules are approximately 80 nucleotides in length. Their secondary structure includes four short double-helical elements and three loops (D, anti-codon, and T loops). Further hydrogen bonds mediate the characteristic L-shaped molecular structure. tRNAs have two regions of fundamental functional importance: the anti-codon, which is responsible for specific mRNA codon recognition, and the 3' end, to which the tRNAs corresponding amino acid is attached (by aminoacyl-tRNA synthetases). tRNAs cope with the degeneracy of the genetic code in two manners: having more than one tRNA (with a specific anti-codon) for a particular amino acid; and 'wobble' base-pairing, i.e. permitting non-standard base-pairing at the 3rd anti-codon position. The record is from Rfam. Lineage: Eukaryota; Metazoa; Chordata; Mammalia; Rodentia; Cricetidae.